Long non-coding RNA from Bolinopsis microptera, 820 nucleotides. RefSeq lists it as uncharacterized. The transcript is spliced from 5 exons. Lineage: Eukaryota; Metazoa; Ctenophora; Tentaculata; Lobata; Bolinopsidae. The record is from RefSeq and is a predicted model, not a curated record.
GUUUAAGAUAUAUCUCCUUAAGUUUAGCAGAUCAUUUAUAUAAGAAGUGUAUCUGAAUUAUAGAAUAGGCUUACGUUUAAUUAACAAACGGAGCUUUUUGUGUUUAACCAAGGGACAAUUCGACACGGUUGAUGACAUUCCAUGGAGGUGUCCAAUCAGAGCGCCACAGAAGAACACCUGAUAGCAGACCGGCCUAUCAGUAUCACAGUUUCAGACGAUGGUCUAUGGAUCGUAAGGAUGGAUAAUGAGCGGCAGAGUUUAACGAUAAUGAGCGGCGGACUCAGUGGGAUCGGAGAUGAUAUAUGAGGAUGACGAUCGGAGAACAAGGGAGUCUUAGACCAGCACAGUCGAUAGGGUUGUUCGAGUACUCAGGGGCCAAUAGGCAGGUUUCGACCGGCUACGCCAUGUUUUAUAAGCUUGCUAGACGUAGGUAGUAAUCCAGUUCAACCAGACACGAAUACAUCUUGCAGUUUUGUUGAUAAGAUUCCUCCUAAACUAGAUGACAAUUCCAAAGACCAUCAUGCGUGUUGGGUUCGUUCUAGAGGUCACAUAUCCACGAGGAUUCCUGCUAAUACCGUGUUGUUACUUGCUAUUGUCAAUACCAGCUUGAUCGGGCCAAGAAUAAUUGAUUCUACUUCGUCAGCCAAGACCAGACUUCCUCCACCAUUCGUGACGGCCAACCUGUUAAAGAUCGAGACACCGUGAUACUCCAUUCCACCUACACCAUUGCUUAGAAAUAGACUUUGAAAGAAAUACAGACCAAGGACUCAGCCAGAGGAGAAGGAAUGAUGUACUGGAUUAGAGAAUCUCAAUAUCAACU